This 253-nucleotide ribosomal RNA is filed under the name uncultured bacterium. RNAcentral describes it as "partial 16S ribosomal RNA". It matches the Rfam family "Bacterial small subunit ribosomal RNA", at positions 524 to 776 of the family's 1533-position model. The record is from RNAcentral.
UACGAAGGGGGCUAGCGUUGUUCGGAUUUACUGGGCGUAAAGCGCACGUAGGCGGAUCGUUAAGUCGGGGGUGAAAUCCUGGAGCUCAACUCCAGAACUGCCUUCGAUACUGGCGAUCUUGAGUCCGGAAGAGGUGAGUGGAACUCCUAGUGUAGAGGUGGAAUUCGUAGAUAUUAGGAAGAACACCAGUGGCGAAGGCGGCUCACUGGUCCGAUACUGACGCUGAGGAGCGAAAGCGUGGGGAGCAAACAGG